This 87-nucleotide transfer RNA is filed under the name Macleaya cordata. It matches the Rfam family "tRNA". Rfam says of the family: Transfer RNA (tRNA) molecules are approximately 80 nucleotides in length. Their secondary structure includes four short double-helical elements and three loops (D, anti-codon, and T loops). Lineage: Eukaryota; Viridiplantae; Streptophyta; Magnoliopsida; Ranunculales; Papaveraceae. The record is from Rfam by way of RNAcentral.
CCGACCUUAGCUCAGUUGGUAGAGCGGAGGACUGUAGUUUGACGCAGCUUAAUCCUUAGGUCGCUGGUUCGAAUCCGGCAGGUCGGA